UGACUUGGCAUUUUCAGGGCAUAAUGACUUAGAUUUCAAUCAAACUUUACUUUUUGCUGUAAGAUUACAGGUCAAAGGUCACUGCUUCAGCGGUAAUGGAAAGCUAAAUGCAAUGAAAAUGCAAACGCUUCGCUGUAUCAGGUCUCAAGCUGGACUGAGACAGUCCUGCUGAAUUGACCGGUUUAGACCAGCAGGAUUCCAUCUCUUUGUUGGGUCUGGCUAGUUUGUGCUGGUUUGAAGCUGGUUUUGCCGAUUGGACAUGGAUAUCUGUGUCAAAAUAAGCGUAUUAAUCUUCAAACGGAGGGAAACUCAAUCAAAAGGCAUGGAAAACAAAAACAUUCCCAUGAGCUGAUAAGCAGAUGUGUGCGGCCUGCAGAAGAUGAGAGCAUCUGACCUGCUUCUGAGGUUAUUGUAAAACAGUAAACAUGAUUAUGAACUUACAGUUUGACAUUACAAAUCUCUCCUGCUGUCACUUUUGCCUCAGCUGACACAGCAAUGGACCGUUCAGAUGCAUAUUGCA
This is a long non-coding RNA of Cyprinus carpio (common carp), 520 nucleotides long. RefSeq lists it as uncharacterized. The record is from RefSeq and is a predicted model, not a curated record. The transcript is spliced from 3 exons. NCBI's taxonomy places the organism in Eukaryota, Metazoa, Chordata, Actinopteri, Cypriniformes, Cyprinidae.